Molecule: ribosomal RNA, 513 nt
Filed under: Gyoerffyella sp. aurim614
Lineage: Eukaryota; Fungi; Ascomycota; Leotiomycetes; Helotiales; Discinellaceae
Description: eukaryotic LSU rRNA
Rfam family: 5.8S ribosomal RNA (bases 174-327)
Source: RNAcentral
ACUCGGAAGAUCAUUCAGAGUUCAUGCCCUCACGGGUAGAUCUCCCACCCUUGAAUAUUAUACCUUCGUUGCUUUGGCAGGCCGUGGAAACACCAGAGGCUCCGGCUGAUGCGUGCCUGCCAGAGGAAACAAACUCUGUUUUUAGUGAUGUCUGAGUACUAUAUAAUAGUUAAAACUUUCAACAACGGAUCUCUUGGUUCUGGCAUCGAUGAAGAACGCAGCGAAAUGCGAUAAGUAAUGUGAAUUGCAGAAUUCAGUGAAUCAUCGAAUCUUUGAACGCACAUUGCGCCCCGUGGUAUUCCGCGGGGCAUGCCUGUUCGAGCGUCAUUUCAACCCAUCAAGCUUCGGCUUGGUCUUGGGGCCUGCGGUUUCGCAGCCUCUAAACCCAGUGGCGGUGCUAUUGAGCUCUGAGCGUAGUAAUUUCUCUCGCUAUAGAGUCUCGGUGGUGACUUGCCAACAACCCCCAAUUUUUAUCAGGUUGACCUCGGAUCAGGUAGGGAUACCCGCUGACUA